This 465-nucleotide ribosomal RNA is filed under the name uncultured bacterium. Its description in RNAcentral is "partial 16S ribosomal RNA". It matches the Rfam family "Bacterial small subunit ribosomal RNA", at positions 28 to 507 of the family's 1533-position model. The record is from RNAcentral.
GAUGAACGCUGGCGGCGUGCCUAACACAUGCAAGUCGAACGGAAAGGCCCUGCUUGCACGUUACUCGAGUGGCGAACGGGUGAGUAACACGUGGGUGAUCUGCCCUGCACUUCGGGAUAAGCCUGGGAAACUGGGUCUAAUACGGGAAAGGCGCCAUUUUUAGUGUGAUGGUUGGAAAGUUUUUUCGGUGUAGGAUGAGCUGGCGGCCUAUCAGCUUGUUGGUGGGGUAAUGGCCUACCAAGGCGGCGGCGGGUAGCAGGCCUGAGAGGGUGGACGGCCACCUUGGCACUGAGAGACGGCCCAGGCUCCUACGAGGGGCAGCAGGGGGGAAUAUUGCACAAUGGGCGCAGGGCGGAUGCAGCAAGUCCGCGUGGGGGAUGACAGCCUAAGGGUUGUGGACUGCUUUCGAUAGGGACGAAGCUUGUUGUGACGGUACCUAGAGAAGAAGCACCGGCUAACUACGUG